GAGGCGGAGCAGAGCGGCGCGCUGAGGCGUGCAUUGGGCCAGCUGCGCGAGGAGGCGGGCGUUCCCGAAGCAGACGAGCCAAUGGGAGCGCCGGGCUGACAGCGGACUGGGGGCGCAGGCACUCGGGGUCCUAGAGAUAAGAUCUUCCGCGGUUUUUCAAACUUCUGCCUCCUGGACUGCUGAAAGAGCUUUUCUUGGACAGGAAUGCCGGCUGCCUCGUUCACAGGGGAUCCCCCUGUGUACCGGACAUAUCCUUAGUACUUGAAUGGAUUUAAAGAUUCUCCUAAAGGAAAAGGAUCGACCAAGGUCUCGUAACUACAAAGACAUUGCCCGCUAGGAAUUAGAACACAGAUCUGUUAGUUACCAAAGCCCACGACAAUCAUUGUCCAUAUUGCCUCGUUCAAACAUCGCCUUCAGCGGUUCUUAUUCUCUGCUUUACGAGGGGUGUGAAACAAGCAUGAGAUGGGGUCCCUUCCUGUAAGCAUACCGUCACUGAACCCAGAGAAACGCGCACACGUAGGAGUGGCGAUUUCAUGUCAGCGAUUUUGUCCUUAGCCGUGGCUUCUGGAUAAAGUAGUGAGAAUUCUGAGAAAGGCAUUCUAUUUUCUUGAUUUCUGCUCUAGGCCCAGCGUGGAGUCCAACACAGAGCUUGAACUCACAACCCUGAGAUCAACACCUGAACGGAGAUCAAGAGUUGGAUGCUUAACUGACUGAGCCACACAGAUCCCCCCCUAUAAGAAAUAUUCUUAAACGUGCUUCAUCUUGGUAAGUAUCUCUAAUUACUUAUUUAAGAAAAUAUCCUAGAGGUUGAAUUUGUGUGUCAAAGAAUAAAUAAAAUUUGAAGGCUUCAUACACAUUACCAAAUUCCCACCAGAAAAAUUACAAUUUAUACUGUAAUCUUCAAUGCAUGAAAGUGUCCCCUUCCUUGAUUUCUUCCUAACAGUGAAUGUUUUUUUUUUUUUCUAACAAUGAAUGUUGACACAAUUUUCAUUAAUUUGGUAGAUUAAAAUUCUGUCUCCCAUUAACUUACUUUUGUAUAUUAAUGUGGCUAACCAUUUUGUUCAUAUACUUACUAAGACUGAGCUUUGGACACUGCAAGCUAGCUACUUCUGGCUUUUGUUUGAUGCAUAAAGUCCUCUUUUUUCUUGAUCAGUUUGACUUAGCUUCUCUGUCAUGAAACUUAAACUGUACUAACCAACACAAUGCUCUUAGCCAUACUGAGUUUUAAAACAUAUGUAGUGGGGAUCCCUGGGUGGCACAGUGGUUUGGUGCCUGCCUUUGGCCCAGGGCGUGAUCCUGGAGACCCGGGAUCGAGUCCCACAUCGGGCUCCCGGUGCAUGGAGCCUG
Molecule: long non-coding RNA, 1347 nt
Organism: Canis lupus familiaris (dog)
Lineage: Eukaryota; Metazoa; Chordata; Mammalia; Carnivora; Canidae
Exons: 3
Source: RefSeq, a predicted model, not a curated record